RNAcentral lists this transfer RNA (76 nucleotides) under Marmota monax (woodchuck). Its description in RNAcentral is "tRNA.Ala". The record is from RNAcentral. Lineage: Eukaryota; Metazoa; Chordata; Mammalia; Rodentia; Sciuridae.
GGGGAUAUAGCUCAGUUGGAAGAGUGUUGCCUUGCAUGCACAGACAGGGCCCUGGGUUCAAACACCAGCACCUCCC